CUUCUGAAAGGGGCCACAGAGAUUAUAAAGACGGUUGAACUCUUGCUGUGUUCAUUGUCUUACAGUUCCCAAGAUAUUCAGCUCUUUUGCUUGUAAUUCUUUUAACAAUUUUAUGGAAGCAAAUUGCAGGAAGGUGGUCCUAAAGGUUGCCACUCUGUGCUCAGCCACUGGAAACUAGAAUGUUAAUUAAGUCUGCAUCAGUGGUCUCCACUCUCCACUUUCAUUUGCUCGAAGAUUUCAAGUCUGAUUGCAGGGACCAUAAUUCAGUGUUUGGAAGUUUAUGAGACCCGUAUGGCUGACUUCUUCUAUGUUCAAAUUGAACAAGAGUUGUGCUCAGAUACGUCUCUCUCACACAAACCAUUCGUAUUUCUGCCAUAUAAUUGCUUUCAAUUUUGGACUGUUAAACUUUACUGUGUUUGAUAAUGGCUUCUUGAAUUUGCCCAUUUGUUUUUGAACUUCCUGUUGCAUUAGCCUAGGAAAACAAAAUUAUUCAAAGUUACUGGUACAGUAUGAUUAUCACUUGCAUAGUUUUUAUAAAUGUCCGAGAGAGAAAUGGUAAAAUACUUUGGAUUAUGCAUAACUUUUUCCAAAACUGGAGAUCAAAUAAUGAUUAGUUUCUUUAAUUUAUGUAAACCACAAAUUCACCACUAAUGAAGUGUAGGUGCUCCACUCAGGUAAAGCAGUUUCUUUAGAAGAUUUGGAGGAAAAAAGGGUCCUACAUCUCUGUCCUCUCUCUCCAGAAUAAACACAUCAUCAAACACCAAAGGAUAACCUCAGCCUCACGCCAUGGAGCACGCCCAUAAGAAUAUGUUCAGGUUAUCUCAAACUACUCUUAUUAUUAGCUAAUGAUCCGGGUUGUUGAGGUCAUUAUGGGUUUGCAACUCAAUUUUAGUAUAUAUUUUGAAAAACCCAUGAAUCAAUCGAACUAAUGGGUUAGAUUGAUCUAGUUCUUCAGGUUAUCAAGUCAUUUUCACACCUCAACGAGUGUUUUAUUUAUAUAAUAUUGAAUCUCUUGGAUUAAAGAGAGGGGAAGAACUAGAUUUAGAAUUUAAGUAGUUUAUAAUUGAGAGAUUUAUGAAUGAAGGGAGAAGUCCCUUUCUUCCAUUUGUUUGUAUGUAUGAACAUGGGUGUGAGGCAUUAGGUGGUCCUCUCUCUUCCUCUUUCUCCCUCCUUUUAUACACAAUAA
Long non-coding RNA from Cucurbita maxima (winter squash), 1186 nucleotides. RefSeq lists it as uncharacterized. Lineage: Eukaryota; Viridiplantae; Streptophyta; Magnoliopsida; Cucurbitales; Cucurbitaceae. The record is from RefSeq and is a predicted model, not a curated record. The transcript has 3 exons.